RNAcentral lists this ribosomal RNA (307 nucleotides) under uncultured bacterium. Its description in RNAcentral is "bacterial SSU rRNA". It matches the Rfam family "Bacterial small subunit ribosomal RNA", at positions 28 to 334 of the family's 1533-position model. The record is from RNAcentral.
GACGAACGCUGGCGGCGUGCCUAACACAUGCAAGUCGAACGGGGCGAUUCCUUCGGGGAUUGCUUAGUGGCGAACGGGUGAGUAACGCGUGAGAAACCUGCCUUUCAGUGGGGGACAACAGUUGGGAAACGACUGCUAAUACCGCAUAAUGUUAUUUGGGGGCAUCCCUGAAUAACCAAAGAUUUAUUGCUGAAAGAUUGGUCUCGCGUCUGAUUAGCUAGUUGGUGAGGUAACGGCUCACCAAGGCGACGAUCAGUAGCCGGUCUGAGAGGAUGAACGGCCACAUUGGGACUGAGAUACGGCCCAG